This 76-nucleotide transfer RNA is filed under the name Frederiksenia canicola. Its description in RNAcentral is "tRNA-Ala". It matches the Rfam family "tRNA". From Rfam's summary of the family: Transfer RNA (tRNA) molecules are approximately 80 nucleotides in length. Their secondary structure includes four short double-helical elements and three loops (D, anti-codon, and T loops). Lineage: Bacteria; Pseudomonadati; Pseudomonadota; Gammaproteobacteria; Pasteurellales; Pasteurellaceae. RNAcentral also lists the same sequence under 3 other names. The record is from RNAcentral.
GGGGAUAUAGCUCAGUUGGGAGAGCGCUUGCAUGGCAUGCAAGAGGUCAUCGGUUCGAUCCCGUUUAUCUCCACCA